GAUUGGCAGCAGUGAUAUGUUUUGGAACUUUUGAGUUUGUUGUUUAAAAAACGAUAGUAGAAUUUGAAUGAAAAUAAGUUGAUAUCUGUUAUUCACUGAUGUGUUACUAAAAUGUUUGCACUUGUGUGAAAAAAGCAUCCACCAUAAUAUUUGUUUUAUUUUGAGAUUGUGUUGUCAUGCUAAUGAGAAGAGCUGAUAAAUCACCACGUCUUUCGUAAUAAAAGUGGCAUCAAUAAGAGAGGAUUGACUUUUCGAAGACCUACAAUCUCAACUUCAACAUGCAACAUAUUUUGAUGGAAUUGAGAACCAUGAAAUAAUAAAUUCCCCAGAAGGGGGGAAUUUUUAAUCAUGCUAUAAUUUUCGUUACUUAUUGGAGCAUAUGUGUGAGUAUUGUUACUCGCAUGCAAAAAAAGAGGAAAUUUAUUCUUAUUACCCAUGUUAUAAAACAUUCAAACAUUUUACCCUUUUGAUCGCUUAUUAAUAAUAAUAAUAAUAAUAUUUUUUUAAAAAACCCCUUCAUUUUUGCCAUAUAUGAUCAAAGUCUUUUAAAUUGUAUUCAUCGCGAAAAUUUUAUUGGCAAAUUGAAAUUAAAGAGAUAUAUAUUGCUCGUGACAUGUAGAAAGACGUGCUUUAAAAAUGCAAUUUUCUCAUUGACCACUUAAUGGUGAAACCAUAUACUUCCGAAUUUUGUAAUAUUUUCUCAACUUCCGAAUUUAAAGAAACGUUUUGUGAUGUAUCCUAAAGAGAAACCACAUACAUGUGAUGUUUGUAGUAAAGCAAUAUUUCAAGGAUCGAUGUAAAAAUUCAUUAAUGUCGCAUACGAAUAAGGAAUCCUAUGCUUGCAACUUUUGCAACGAAGUUUUUUCUGUGAUUUCAAAUUUCAAACUACAUUUACGUUUGCAUACGCAAAAGAAACUGUUCAUAUGCGAACUUUGCAAAAAAACUUUUACCAGUAACGG
Molecule: long non-coding RNA, 959 nt
Organism: Argiope bruennichi
Lineage: Eukaryota; Metazoa; Arthropoda; Arachnida; Araneae; Araneidae
Exons: 3
Source: RefSeq, a predicted model, not a curated record